This is a long non-coding RNA of Rhopalosiphum padi (bird cherry-oat aphid), 902 nucleotides long. RefSeq lists it as uncharacterized. The record is from RefSeq and is a predicted model, not a curated record. NCBI's taxonomy places the organism in Eukaryota, Metazoa, Arthropoda, Insecta, Hemiptera, Aphididae. The transcript is spliced from 3 exons.
UGCCACGAGUUCCUAAAAAAUAGGUAAGACGCCUCAACAAUUAUUAAUGACCUUCACGUUAAAAUUUGUAAUACUAUAUUAUCACGAUGAUGAUAAUAGAGCAGAAUAUAGUAUCUACACGAGUCGGGUGUCAGUUAUUAGUGCGACAUUGAAACAUAGUAGGUAUUAACCAGUUUCUCCUGUUACCUAUACAAUCGCAUAUUACAGUUGGCAGAACACAAAAUAUCAAGAUAUUUUACAGAUUCAAUAAAAUGUCAUUAGAACCUUUUUAUCGUUAUUAUAAUUAGUUUUGUUAGAUAUGAUCACGUACUCAAAAAUAAAAGUGUAUCCAAUACAAAUAGGUAAACAACAUAUAAAAUAUUUGUUUAUUAUAAUAUUUAAUGGUAUUUAUUUUAAUUUUUUUUUGUGCAUCAUGCAAGUGGACAUGUCAGGGGUCACCAAUUAAUACUAUUGAAGGGCCACAUAGGAAUCUGAAAACUUUUUGGGGGCCUUCAAAAUUCUAAGUACCUAUACAUAUAUUUACUUUAUUUAAAAACCAAUAAUAUUUAACAAAAAUAAUAAUUUACAAUAAUAACACAUAUUAUAAUGUUGUCGUAAUAUGUGUUAUUUAUUCUUUGUCUGCGGGCCGGAUAAAAUGUGUUCACGGUUCGCCAUUUGGUGACACAUGCUCUGUUAUGUUAUAAAUAUUUUGUGCUUGUGAAUAGUGAAUAUCCAUCGGAAGAAUUAAACGAAGUAAAUGACAUGACAUGUUUUAUUGAAUUAAAGCUGAGAAGAUUGCGCUAGAAUUUAUUCGAGACAUAUUGAUUUUAAUGUCAUUAUUAUUUACUUACUCCAGUACAAAAAACAUCAUAUCGAAAAAUAAUCACAUACAUACCCACCACAGUUUUCCGUACAAUGUAAAA